This 253-nucleotide ribosomal RNA is filed under the name uncultured bacterium. RNAcentral describes it as "partial 16S ribosomal RNA". It matches the Rfam family "Bacterial small subunit ribosomal RNA", at positions 524 to 776 of the family's 1533-position model. The record is from RNAcentral.
UACGUAGGGGGCAAGCGUUGUCCGGAAUCAUUGGGCGUAAAGAGCGUGUAGGCGGCCCGGUAAGUCCGCUGUGAAAGUCCAGGGCUCAACCCUGGGAUGCCGGUGGAUACUGUCGGGCUCGAGUCCGGAAGAGGAGUGUGGAAUUCCUGGUGUAGCGGUGAAAUGCGCAGAUAUCAGGAGGAACACCAAUGGCGAAGGCAGCACUCUGGGACGUGACUGACGCUGAGACGCGAAAGCGUGGGGAGCGAACAGG